UCCUCCAUAGUGGAAAUAUGGUCGCUGACUUC
This 32-nucleotide non-coding RNA is filed under the name Homo sapiens (human). Lineage: Eukaryota; Metazoa; Chordata; Mammalia; Primates; Hominidae. The record is from RNAcentral.